AACGAACGCUGGCGGCAGGCUUAACACAUGCAAGUCGAGCGAGACCUUCGGGUCUAGCGGCGGACGGGUGAGUAACGCGUGGGAACGUGCCUUCUCUACGGAAUAGCCCCGGGAAACUGGGAGUAAUACCGUAUACGCCCUUUGGGGGAAAGAUUUAUCGGAGAAGGAUCGGCCCGCGUUGGAUUAGGUAGUUGGUGGGGUAAUGGCCCACCAAGCCGACGAUCCAUAGCUGGUUUGAGAGGAUGAUCAGCCACACUGGGACUGAGACACGGCCCAGACUCCUACGGGAGGCAGCAGUGGGGAAUCUUAGACAAUGGGGGCAACCCUGAUCUAGCCAUGCCGCGUGAGUGAUGAAGGCCUUAGGGUUGUAAAGCUCUUUCAGCUGGGAAGAUAAUGACGGUACCAGCAGAAGAAGCCCCGGCUAACUCCGUG
RNAcentral lists this ribosomal RNA (432 nucleotides) under uncultured bacterium. RNAcentral's name for it is "partial 16S ribosomal RNA". It matches the Rfam family "Bacterial small subunit ribosomal RNA", at positions 29 to 507 of the family's 1533-position model. The record is from RNAcentral.